AUUGAACGCUGGCGGCAUGAUUUACACAUGCAAGUCGAACGGUAACAGGCCGCAAGGUGCUGACGAGUGGCGUACGGGUGAGUAAUGCAUCGGAACGUUCCCAGUCGUGGGGGAUAACUACUCGAAAGAGUAGCUAAUACCGCAUACGAUCUAUGGAUGAAAGCGGGGGACCGUACGGCCUCGCGCGACUGGAGCGGCCGAUGUCAGCUUAGGUAGUUGGUGGGGUAUAGGCUCACCAAGCCAACGAUCUGUAGCUGGUCUGAGAGGACGACCAGCCACACUGGGAGUGAGACACGGCCGAGACUCCUACGGGAGGAAGCAGUGGGGAAUUUUGGACAAGGGGGGAAAGCCUGAUCCAGCAAUGCCGCGUGCAGGAAGAAGGCCUUCGGGUUGUAGACUGCUUUUGUACGGAGCGAAACGGCUCUGGUUAAUACCCGAGGAUAAUGACGGUACCGUAAGAAUAAGCACCGGCUAACUACGUG
This 482-nucleotide ribosomal RNA is filed under the name uncultured bacterium. RNAcentral's name for it is "partial 16S ribosomal RNA". It matches the Rfam family "Bacterial small subunit ribosomal RNA", at positions 30 to 507 of the family's 1533-position model. The record is from RNAcentral.